This 2617-nucleotide unclassified non-coding RNA is filed under the name Hevea brasiliensis (rubber tree). Lineage: Eukaryota; Viridiplantae; Streptophyta; Magnoliopsida; Malpighiales; Euphorbiaceae. The record is from RNAcentral.
UCUCUCUCUCUCUCUCUUAUUUUUUUUUUAUUUGCAAACGAUAUCCAUAUUAUUCAAAAUUGUCACUUCUCUUUGGAUAUAUUAUUCUUCUAAAAACAUUUAUCAGAUUUUUCAAUAGAGUCUGCAUAUAAAAUCAUUCUAGCUCAUCUUAACUGCUAACUUUUCAUGAGGUUGCAAUAUGAUGUGGAUGGUGGAGUUUGAAAAGGCUACUAUAUGAAUGUUUUCUUAUCUGAUUGGGAUUUUUAGUUGCAGUGUUGAAUGUCAAGUGAUAGUAAGUGCAACUCUGCAGUCAGAUCUCUUUUUUUGUCAGAAGACUGAUGCAUUCUCAGGAGAUAGGUAGUAAAUUGAUCUAAAAAUUGAAUUAUUCUUCAUGCUUUUGGUUGGUUAUAUUGUUUUAGAUUAUUGUUGAUGACUUUGGUUACUUUUAACAUUUUCUUAUCAUUAAUCUUAAUCAGGGCAUUUGAAAUUUUGGAAGAAAAAAGCUGUUGGCAUCGCGUUUGCAAAACAUUUUAGAUCCCAUCUUGGUUCCUUAGAAGGCUUAGCGGUCUUCUCUUCUUUCUUGCUUGAUUUAGUUUAUAUAAUGUAAUAUAAUUUUGGAUUGAUCAUUGCUGCAUUUUACCUUUUGAACCUUUGAUAUUUGAACUAUUAAUAUGUUAACAGUUUUAGUCAAUAUGCUGUGAAUUUCAUGCUGUUUCAUCCUCUUUAGAUUGUAGUUGAAUUAAAAAAGGACAUCAUUUUCAAAUACUCGUGUUUGAUAGUUUGGAUGUGGACCUGCCUUUUGGUUUGUAGUAUGCUAAUUAUUUCACUAAUAUUUUCUUAUAGAGGUAGCAUUUGAUUGGCUCUUUUGUGUUUAGUUGAUUCUCCUUUGUUACUUGUUAGUGCAGUCAUCAACUGUGACUUUCUUCCGCCAUGCAGGUUAGUGUGGAUGGUCUAGUUUGUUGCACAAUUUCCAAUGAUCAAUCUGUCAAGGUAUAUGAUGUUGUCAAUUAUGACAUGAUGGUCAUGAUUUGGCUACCAUUCAUCCCUGAUAGUAUUGAGUGGGUAUAUAAACAAGGCGAUGUUAGAGCUAGGCUUGCCAUCAGUGAUCUAAACUCCUCGUUUGUAUACAUAAUAUAUAUGAUGCAAGAGUGGGUUCAAAUGAACCUAUCAUCUCAAAAGAGAGAUGCUUGGGGCCAAUUAAAGUUAUGAAAUACAGCCCUGUAUUUGACACUAUGAUAUCUGCUGAUUCAAAGGGAAUCAUUGAAUAUUGGAGUCCUGCAACACUUCAGUUUCCAAAGAUUGAGUAUGUCUUUAUUCUUUCAUGCUCUUCUGUAGUUUUCUUUGAGUCCUAUGUGCCUAACAUCUUGCUUGGAGUAUUGUUGACUCUUUCCAUGUUGAGAACUUUAUUUUUAGGUGCAUGUAUGUGUUUUUUAGUUUCUUCUGAUUGCCAUGAAUGCCUAACAAUACUCUCAUUUAUCUGAUACAUACAGUGCAAGUUUUAGAUUGAAAAGUGACACCAAUCUAUUUGAAAUUGUGAAAUGCAAGACAAGCACUUCCACUAUUGAGGUAAUAUACUGGUGUGAACUAUGCUUGACACAGAUGCACCAUUAUCAAUACAUUUUUUUUUUGAAUGGCUUAAUCUUUUAAUUGGGUCAUUGUUAAAAGCUUGAUUUGAAAGACAGCAGGAAAAAAGAACCUUAUAAAUGUACUGCUCCUAAUUUUAGUUGGUUAAAAUUUUCAUAUUAGGGUCUCGUCCUUUACUUGGCAAAAGAAAAGAUGGUUAUUCAUAUAAAGACGUCCCGAAUUCUCAUUUUCCCACAUUAAUAGUGUUUAUUUUUCUUCCUUCCCUAUGGCUGAAUGCCUACGAUGGUAACAUCACACUUUGUGGCACGUAGUUGUAUAGAGUAUAGUGGCCUAUUUCAUUUCCACAUUGGCUUGGAUGACUGCUUAUUGCUUAAACAAUGACAAGAUUUGGUAGGAUAUUUUUAUUGGUGAUUAUAUGUUCACAAAUUUAGAAUGCGGCUGGCAAGUUACCAUGUUGCUUUUAAACUUCAGUGGUUUGCUAUGUAUUUCCCAUUUUGUUAUUCUAUAAAUGAAUUCCAUGUGUAUGAACAACUAAGUGGAUGUUCAUCUCUACACUUUAAGACAUGACAGCCCUUUCACGGUGUCAAUGGCCAAUGCUGGCCCUAACACCAAUGGCUCUCAGUUCUUUAUCACCACAGUGGCCACACCAUGGUUGGACAAUAAGCACACAGUUUUUGGUAGAGUUGUAAGGGGAAUGGAUGUUGUCCAGGUAACGUUGAAUCCUUUUUUAUCCUCCUACUAUCCACAAGUAAUCUUUCUUCUCUGCUCUUGCAUGGUUGUGUCAUUUGUGUGAGAGAGAGAAAGAGGAGGGAGUUGGAAAUCAUACGCAUGCAUCAUAUCUUAUGCGAGGUAACUCCAUGUGCAUGGUGUUACAUCACACUUAGUGUACGUCUCAAAUUGCACCUUUUUAAUAAGCUUUCAGGCAUAUAUGUAUUACAGAGCCUUGAUAAGUAGAUAAAAUAAGCACAUCCUUACUUCACCUGGUAUUAGACAUGUCUUAUUUUCCUGUAACUUAUUAAAUAUAUUAUUCUGCAUUUGGAAUUCACACACAACU